Molecule: ribosomal RNA, 253 nt
Filed under: uncultured bacterium
Lineage: Bacteria
Description: partial 16S ribosomal RNA
Rfam family: Bacterial small subunit ribosomal RNA
Source: RNAcentral
UACGUAGGGUGCGAGCGUUAAUCGGAAUUACUGGGCGUAAAGCGUGCGCAGGCGGUUCGUUGUGUCGGUGGUGAAAGCCCCGGGCUUAACCUGGGAAUGGCCAUGGAAACUGGCGAACUGGAGUGUGGCAGAGGGGGGUGGAAUUCCGCGUGUAGCAGUGAAAUGCGUAGAGAUGCGGAGGAACACCGAUGGCGAAGGCAGCCCCCUGGGCUAACACUGACGCUCAUGCACGAAAGCGUGGGGAGCGAACAGG